Molecule: long non-coding RNA, 189 nt
Organism: Dreissena polymorpha
Lineage: Eukaryota; Metazoa; Mollusca; Bivalvia; Myida; Dreissenidae
Exons: 3
Source: RefSeq, a predicted model, not a curated record
AAGCGUCUAAAGCGUCUAAAGCGCCUAAAGCGCCACCAUUGCCGAGCACGGCGAAAAUUAUUGUUCAAGAAAAUCAAGAGGCAAUGAGUUGCAACAAUAUGCUUGAAACUGCUACGGUUUACAAAGAGAAAUUUCGAAAGACGGUCAAAUCACUGUUAGGCAGAAUAAUGAUGACAAAAAUUGACAACA